CCUACGGGAGGCAGCAGUGAGGAAUAUUGGUCAAUGGCCGGAAGGCUGAACCAGCCAAGCCGCGUGAAGGACGAAGGUGCCAAGCAUUGUAAACUUCUUUUGUAAAGGGACAAAAUCAGGCACGAGAGCCUGACCGAGGGUACUUGAAGAAAAAGCAUCGGCUAACUCCGUGCCAGAAGCCGCGGUAAUACGGAGGAUGCGAGCGUUAUCCGGAUUUAUUGGGUUAAAAGGGUGCGUAGGCGGGCUGUUAAGUCAGAGGUAAAAGCCCGGGGCUCAACCCCGGCGUGCCGUUGAAACUGGCUGUCUUGAGUUGUCGAGAGGUAGGCGGAAUGC
Molecule: ribosomal RNA, 333 nt
Filed under: uncultured bacterium
Lineage: Bacteria
Description: partial 16S ribosomal RNA
Rfam family: Bacterial small subunit ribosomal RNA
Source: RNAcentral